AGCUUGCUACCCGCUGACGAGCGGCGGACGGGUGAGUAAUGCAUAGGAAUCUGCCCGAUAGUGGGGGAUAACCUGGGGAAACCCAGGCUAAUACCGCAUACGUCCUACGGGAGAAAGGGGGCUCCGGCUCCCGCUAUUGGAUGAGCCUAUGUCGGAUUAGCUAGUUGGUAAGGUAAUGGCUUACCAAGGCAACGAUCCGUAGCUGGUCUGAGAGGAUGAUCAGCCACAUCGGGACUGAGACACGGCCCGAACUCCUACGGGAGGCAGCAGUGGGGAAUAUUGGACAAUGGGGGCAACCCUGAUCCAGCCAUGCCGCGUGUGUGAAGAAGGCCCUCGGGUUGUAAAGCACUUUCAGCGAGGAAGAACGCCUAUCGGUUAAU
RNAcentral lists this ribosomal RNA (380 nucleotides) under marine sediment bacterium BB0608_AND_6.2_2G10. RNAcentral's name for it is "bacterial SSU rRNA". It matches the Rfam family "Bacterial small subunit ribosomal RNA", at positions 77 to 464 of the family's 1533-position model. The record is from RNAcentral.